GGCACGGUGGCCAAGUGGUAAGGCAGGGGUCUGCAAAACCCCUAUACACGGGUUCGAUUCCCGUCCGUGCCU
Molecule: transfer RNA, 72 nt
Filed under: Candidatus Kaiserbacteria bacterium
Lineage: Bacteria; Candidatus Kaiseribacteriota
Description: tRNA-Cys
Rfam family: tRNA
About the family: Transfer RNA (tRNA) molecules are approximately 80 nucleotides in length. Their secondary structure includes four short double-helical elements and three loops (D, anti-codon, and T loops).
Source: RNAcentral